UUCCCACCUCACCUCGAUCUCUUCUUCCACGCUCGAGGCCUACCACACAUCACCCUGGAUCUGUCGAUCCCGCGGCCAUAGUGCUCCCCGGCGCUUGGGGGGAUGUCCAUGAGCUUCACCGCCGCCAUCUCCUUCGCCUACAUGCAUCGAAUCGAGCAGGGAGGCCCAGUACGCUCGUCACCGCGUCGUCUUCCUCACCUUCGGCCGCCGCACUGCAUCACCGUCUUCCUGCACUCCGGCCCUCCCUGACUCUUUCCGACCACGGCCGCAACAUCUCUGUGAGGCCCCGUUGAUUCCCUCCUUCCUUCCCCCCUUUUUUGUUUCUGUCGUUGUAGCCACCGUGGUCGAUGCCCGUCAUGGCCACGCCCUAAGGCCGUGUUGCUCGCGUCCUCUGUUCUCUGCACGCGCCCAUAGUCGCGUCCCCACGAGGUCCGCGCCCUCCUACUCCGCCUAGCGCUCGCCGGAUUCGCUUGCCGUGCCCGGCCAACCCCGCGGUGCCCCGCCCGUGCGGCCCGCUCUGGCGCCCACCCACACGUCCCCGCCACCGCCUACACGCCACCCUGCCAACCGAGUCUGGCCGCUCUGGACUCGCCCCCCCUCCCGCGCUGGCCGCCGCUCUCCGGCCGACGGGUGCUGCUGCCGACCGUUACCAGGCGCGGCCAUGGCCGUGUGUCCCUGUCGCGCGGGCGUGCAUGCCCCUGGCCUGCUCGCCAACUGCCGCCGACCACGCCGCAUUGCUGCUUCGGCCGCCGCCGCCGCCUCCGGCUUGCUUGCUCUGCCCGCCCGCGUAGCCCUGGGCCCGUGUGUCGCCUCGCCGCAGCCGAACGCGCUUGCCCGCUACUGCGUUGCUUCUGCCUGCAACCGCUGCCGCUAGCUGCUCAUGCUGCUACGUUGCUCGAUGCCUGUUGCUACAGUAACAUUCAGUUACUGUAGCAGUAGCUAGCUUUGUACUGCUACUGCUUACUGACUAGCCCUUUUUGCUUCAACAAAACAGACAACAAAUCACUUCGAAAAUAAAUAAAAAUGGUGGGAAUAGUUUGUACAUUUGACCAACUCCAUUUCAUCUCACUGGAACAAGUCCAUUAGGUGCAUGGUUUAAUUCCUACAAAAAUGACAAAAGUGCAUAUUCUGUUAAGAGAGAAAAUUGUAGAAACAGAUUACUAACUAAGCUAGUUUCGGCUAUAUUUGGACUAGCUAUGUGCACUGUUCAUGCCAUCAGAUGGCAUGGAUUGGUAGUACUCUUGAAGUAGAGUAAAUCGUUUAUAGGAAUCAUCCCCAUUAGAGCUAUGAAUAACCCAUUCUAGCCCUCACAAAUUGGCUAGUCAAUAAAUAGAUUCUAAGACUUGGUAGAAUUUCAAAAAAUUUAGAAAACUUUUAGAACUUUGAAACUUCAUAGAAAUUAAAUAGUAACUCCGAUGAAAAUGUUUACUACAUGAAAGUUGCUCAGAAAAACGUGACGAACCCGAUUACGCUAUCCACAUACCUGUCAGAUUCCUCCAGCACUGCAAACAUGGAACCUUCCCCUUCGGUUCAUCUGUCUGAUAGAUGUCUGAAAUCGGGAAAACCUUCCGGUUAAUUUCCCGCUUCGUCCGCAACGUGUAGCAUUGUGUUAGGUCACCCCCAACGCAACAUUUUGCUUUGUCAUGCUUUGUAAUGCAUUGUUUGCUCUGUUAUUUAUUAUGUUCCCCCUUCGUUACUUCUUUACGGUAGAUCCCAAGACCGUUGUUGAUCCGAUGAUCGACUACUUCACCAUCGAGG
Molecule: long non-coding RNA, 1758 nt
Filed under: Triticum aestivum (bread wheat)
Lineage: Eukaryota; Viridiplantae; Streptophyta; Magnoliopsida; Poales; Poaceae
Description: long non-coding RNA (TAES_LNC021538)
Source: RNAcentral